GUGGAGCUCCAGCUUCAUGGUGCCAAAAACACUGGAUUCAUUGGAGGUGCUUAUUUUCUGCAUUUCGUGUGGAAGCUCAACUUCGAGAACUAAUCAGGAAGCUUAAACAGCAAAGUGAUUUCCCAAAAGAGACCUUUGAAGGCCCUAAACAUGAAGUACUACGAAGAUGUCUUUGUGCGGGCUAUUUCAAAAAUGUAGCUCGAAGAUCUGUUGGGAGAACGUUUUGCACAAUGGAUGGUCGUGGAAGCCCAGUUCACAUUCAUCCUUCCUCAGCAGUAAGUACUUCAUUUUUAAUAAAGGGAAGAAAUUUGUAAAGUUGUAGAAAUAAGUAAUAUACAAAUGUCUUCUACUUUUCACUUUGGAGUUAAAUUUACAUAUAUCUAUAUUACAUAGAUCUAUAAGGGUAUUGGUUGGCCCGUGCCUCCUGUUUGAAGAAGAUAGGAAUUAAUUGAGAAGGAUUUGGACUAUUUGGUUGGUCUAAUGUGGAAUAGGGCAGGUUAUUGAGUUACCAUCAUUAAAAGAAAUGUUUUGUAUAGCUUCAUGAACAGGAAACCAAACUUGAAUGGAUCAUUUUUCAUGAGGUAUUGGUUACCACCAAAGUCUACGCAAGAAUUGUAUGCCCAAUCCGUUAUGAAUGGGUAAGAGACUUGUUACCCAAGUUGCAUGAAUUUAAUGCACAUGAUUUGAGCAGUGUGGCCCGACGUGAAGUGAGAGAAGAUGCAAGAAGGAGAUGGACAAAUAAGGAAA
RNAcentral lists this small RNA (747 nucleotides) under Pan troglodytes (chimpanzee). RNAcentral describes it as "retained intron". The record is from RNAcentral. Lineage: Eukaryota; Metazoa; Chordata; Mammalia; Primates; Hominidae.